CCUCAGCCCCCUCCCGCCACCCCCGGGCUGUCUGUGCGGCCACAGGGGCUGGGGCAGGGGUGGGAGCCCCGAGAGACCUCGUGGAAAGGGUCUCUGGGAGGAGCAUGGUGACAUGGCCUUGGGGAAGAGGCUGUGGCGAGCACGGCGGCCAGGCUGUGAGGAGGAGGCGGUGGGCGAUGCCGCGGCAGCUGCUCCAGGGCCGAGGGGCACCUCAGAGGGAGAAGAGUGACAGUUGGAAAUGCUGUUGCUUUAAGCAUUACGACUACAACGUAUAAAGAACUAGGCCGUGGGCAGUCUUCAGUACUGUUCCAUCUAACUUCUAUGAAAUCAAUAGGAUGUUAGGGAACCGGCAAAAGAAGGAGCAGAACCAGAUUUCAAGAGACACAGGAAGAGCUACUGUCUCAAAGAAAACAUGAAGAAAGGUCCAACAGUGAAGUUGGAGGCCCAACUGUCUCACUGCAUCUUCCUAUGUAUGGGUAAAAUCCUGAAUUUAACUAUUUGGUAUUCCAAGCUACCACCUCUUUAGUUCACUGGUGAUAUGGCAGAGAGAACUGAUGUGGGUAAUGUACCAGUGGAAUAAUUAUAGAAAUUGAAAGGGCCACUGGAAAAUCUCAUAGUCGGAGAGCAUGGAACCUGUGAUUUUAUUUUAAACUUAGAGAACUGUUGGGAACAAUUUACUAUUUUCCUGGCUUUUCUGUUUAUUUAGUGGAGCUUACUAGUAACACAGAAUUUGAUCAAUCAGAGUGCAGAGUUUGAAAUUAUGUUUCUAGUUAGAAUUUUCUGAAUUAUAUCCAUUGUGGAACUUAAGUUUGGGAGGAGUCCUAAGAGAUCGCCUAGUCUAGCCUGCACUGCAUCAAGACUAAAUAUAUCAAGGCUAGUGCCAGCAUGCUUAUCAAACUUUGUUUUUAAAAAAAUCCAGUGGAAGAGAUUUCACAGUCGUCCUAGAUAGUCUUCUCCAGUGUUGAAAAAUCCUUAGCUGGAAUGCUGAUCAAAAUCUUUUAAGCAUUUCUUGCUGCAAAUCAAGUUGACUCUUUCACGUCUUUCUACAGGAGCCAUAGAGGAUAGCUGAUCGACAUCUCUGUAAUGAGCUUGUAUGUGUCAGAAAGAUGCAUCUUGCUUGAAGCUUUUGUUUUCUUGACUAGGCAUACCUAAUUCUUUCAGCUUUUUCUCCAAGGGUUUGGUUCAUAAACUUCUUCUUAUUAUUUUCUUGCUUCUCUUCACCUGUGUUUAUGUUUCUUAGGUGUUAAUCCAGGACCAGACACAUUAUGCCACUUGGGGCUUCAGUACCACGAGAAUUUAAGAAACCAAACAAAUUGUCCUGUAUAUGACACACCUGUUAAUGUGCUCCAGAAUUAAACACAUUUCUGGCAGUGAUACUGCACUAUUGGUUUAUAUUGCUGGUUAUCCAUACAACCCUAAGAUCUGGUUUUGCUGUAUUUCUGUCUAGUCCGGAAUUCAACACAGUUUAUUCAUGUUUCAUUCUUUUCCUAAGGAUAAAAUAUUUUUCAGUACUGUUUUUUCCCUUGUUUGUUUUUGGACAACCUGUCCAAUUCGUCAGUACGAUUUGGGGUUUUUGAUCUCAUUCUUUCUAGUGUUUGCAUCCUUUUGCCAUUGUUUUGAGGUUAUCAGUUGUUACAGCACAGAUUUUAUAAUCAUAGUAAUAUAUCAUCUACGUUGGUAGUGAACACAGUAUAUAAAACAGAGCACAGGAUAUAUCCCGAAAUGUGUCUUUCUGAUGUGCCUCUGUGUUUUGAUGAGUCAUGACUAAUGACCACCACGGUUUUCUUCUAUCAGAUGCUUGCACACCUUGCCCUAGUUGUAUUUAAAAUGUCAUUCUAUAAAAGUGUCUUAUGAGACGGUGCCAAAAGCUGUACAAGAUGUAUCAUGUCUGUUGCCUUCUGUUUACUCAGUGAGCUUUACGUUACUUAAAAAAGGGAACUUCAUU
This is a long non-coding RNA of Pseudopipra pipra, 1945 nucleotides long. RefSeq lists it as uncharacterized. The transcript has 4 exons. The record is from RefSeq and is a predicted model, not a curated record. Lineage: Eukaryota; Metazoa; Chordata; Aves; Passeriformes; Pipridae.